Molecule: long non-coding RNA, 1050 nt
Filed under: Helianthus annuus (common sunflower)
Lineage: Eukaryota; Viridiplantae; Streptophyta; Magnoliopsida; Asterales; Asteraceae
Description: sRNA HanXRQr2_Chr01g0036951
Source: RNAcentral
UUUUAUAAUUCACACAAAAGAAAAAGAGAUAAGAUUCCAAGUGAAUUGUGUUUUCAUUUAUGAUUUAUUUAUAUCCUUUGCUAAAUAAUUGAGAUGUCUAUUCCUUGUGCCCACCUUAUCUUUAUUCGUGUCUAUGAACGAUUUGUUUGAGAAAAAUAUCUGUCGAUGUGAAUAUUAAUUAAAUGUAUUAAUAUUUGUAUGUUACACCUUCUCGAAAGUCAUAGCGUUUUAUGUUUUUUAAUGUUGAUAACAUUAUAGGAUGACAUAAUUCAGUUUUAAAUCAUGGUGAAAAAGAUAUGUUUUGGUAUACCAAAUAAAGUGCAAACCGAUACGAACAAAUCAAAUAUAGGUGAGGGGUCACUUGAUCGUUAACGAGAUCUUGAACAUUUAGUAAUAACAUUCUCAUUCUCAUGGUUACGAUGAAUGUUGUGUGAUCGUAUUAACAAUAGUACGGUGAAUGAUAUAACAAACAAAUUAGUGUCGUCAUAUAUAGACAAACAAGUUUAUACCAUGUGACUAAUUGUCGUAGAAUACGCUAAAAAUGUAACCGUUUUAAAAAUUAGUACGAUGAGUCGCAUAAUGGAUGAGUCAACGUCGUUAUCUUGUCUCCAAAAUCGGGUUUAGAUCGUGUGACUGAUCGACUUUUAUAAACACGUAGCUCUAAAAAAUUAUGCACAGCAAAUUCACGUGUUAUGUGUGAAAGUCCCACAUCAACUGACAUUAGGACUUAUCAAGAAUUCUUAAACUAAAAUAGUACCGGCUUUUACACGCUUUAACGACUUAGAAACCAAAGAUCGUUUUUAACCUCUUCCACGUCAACAAAAUAGACCGAUUUGUCCACUAUGGAAUCCACAUAGAUUGGUCCACCAAACAAACAAAAGUACUAAAGUUAGCUUCAAGUAUAACAACACAAUUACAAAAUUUAUACAUUAGAAAAUUCAUGGUAUCAUAUAUUUAUAAACACACAAUAUAACAUUAGAAAAUUCAUGGUAUCAUAUAUUUAUAAACACACAAUAUAACGUUACAAAACUUACAUAAUAUUGUGCAUAU